This 253-nucleotide ribosomal RNA is filed under the name uncultured bacterium. Its description in RNAcentral is "partial 16S ribosomal RNA". It matches the Rfam family "Bacterial small subunit ribosomal RNA", at positions 524 to 776 of the family's 1533-position model. The record is from RNAcentral.
UACAGAGGGGGCAAGCGUUGUUCGGAAUUACUGGGCGUAAAGGGCGCGUAGGCGGCCCGCUAAGUCGAACGUGAAAUCCCCGAGCUCAACUCGGGAACUGCGUCCGAUACUGGUGGGCUUGAAUCCGGGAGAGGGAUGCGGAAUUCCAGGUGUAGCGGUGAAAUGCGUAGAUAUCGAGAGGAACACCUGCGGCGAAGGCGGGUUGCUGGGCUGACACUGACGCUGAGGCGCGAAAGCUAGGGGAGCGAACGGG